Octodon degus (degu) is the source of this 128-nucleotide small nucleolar RNA. Its record names the gene SNORA70. It matches the Rfam family "Small nucleolar RNA SNORA70". Rfam says of the family: snoRNA U70 seems to be exclusive to mammals and is a member of the H/ACA class of snoRNA which contain H (ANANNA) and ACA box motifs. Lineage: Eukaryota; Metazoa; Chordata; Mammalia; Rodentia; Octodontidae. The record is from Ensembl.
CUGCAGUCAGUUAAGCCAACUGGGUAGCCUGCUGGUGGGUGCCCAGUGUACAGCACACAGUAGCCUCCUCGGUAGUGUAUGUAGCCUGUUGUUUGUAUGGGCUGCCCUAAGGGACCCUGGAGACACUC